GUAGCUCAAUGGCAGAGCUCCAGCCUUCCAAGCUGGCGGUGCGGGUUCGAUUCCCGUCCCCCGCUCCA
This 68-nucleotide transfer RNA is filed under the name Armatimonadota bacterium. RNAcentral's name for it is "tRNA-Gly". It matches the Rfam family "tRNA". Rfam says of the family: Transfer RNA (tRNA) molecules are approximately 80 nucleotides in length. Their secondary structure includes four short double-helical elements and three loops (D, anti-codon, and T loops). Lineage: Bacteria; Bacillati; Armatimonadota. The record is from RNAcentral.